AUACGUAGGGUGCAAGCGUUAUCCGGAAUUAUUGGGCGUAAAGGGCUCGUAGGCGGUUCGUCGCGUCCGGUGUGAAAGUCCAUCGCUUAACGGUGGAUCCGCGCCGGGUACGGGCGGGCUUGAGUGCGGUAGGGGAGACUGGAAUUCCCGGUGUAACGGUGGAAUGUGUAGAUAUCGGGAAGAACACCAAUGGCGAAGGCAGGUCUCUGGGCCGUUACUGACGCUGAGGAGCGAAAGCGUGGGGAGCGAACAGGAUUAGAUACCCUGGUAGUCCACGCCGUAAACGGUGGAUGCUGGAUGUGGGGCCCGUUCCACGGGUUCCGUGUCGGAGCUAACGCGUUAAGCAUCCCGCCUGGGGAGUACGGCCGCAAGGCUAAAACUCAAAGAAAUUGGCGGGGGCCCGCACAAGCGGCGGAGCAUGCGGAUUAAUUCGAUGCAACGCGAAGAACCUUACCUGGGCUUGACAUGUUCCCGACGAUCCCAGAGAUGGGGUUUCCCUUCGGGGCGGGUUCACAGGUGGUGCAUGGUCGUCGUCAGCUCGUGUCGUGAGAUGUUGGGUUAAGUCCCGCAACGAGCGCAACCCUCGCCCCGUGUUGCCAGCGGAUUAUGCCGGGAACUCACGGGGGACCGCCGGGGUUAACUCGGAGGAAGGUGGGGAUGACGUCAGAUCAUCAUGCCCCUUACGUCCAGGGCUUCACGCAUGCUACAAUGGCCGGUACAACGGGAUGCGACGCGGCGACGCGGAGCGGAUCCCUGAAAACCGGUCUCAGUUCGGAUCGCAGUCAUGCAACUCGACUGCGUGAAGGCGGAGUCGCUAGUAAUCGCGAAUCAGCAACGUCGCGGUGAAUGCGUUCCCGGGCCUUGUACACACCGCCCGUCAAGUCAUGAAAGUGGGCAGCACCCGAAGCCGGUGGCCUAACCCCUUGCGGGAGGGAGCCGUCUAAGGUGAGGCUCGUGAUUGGGACU
Molecule: ribosomal RNA, 966 nt
Filed under: uncultured bacterium
Lineage: Bacteria
Description: bacterial SSU rRNA
Rfam family: Bacterial small subunit ribosomal RNA
Source: RNAcentral